This is an RNA transcript of Triticum dicoccoides, 3331 nucleotides long. RefSeq lists it as uncharacterized. The record is from RefSeq and is a predicted model, not a curated record. The transcript has 3 exons. NCBI's taxonomy places the organism in Eukaryota, Viridiplantae, Streptophyta, Magnoliopsida, Poales, Poaceae.
ACGCUCCUCUCAGCUCUCGCCUCUCCCCCCGCCUCUCCGCCGUCGCCGCCGCGGGGCUCCUCUCAGCUCUCGCCUCUCUCCUUUCCCUGUGUCGCCUCCCCUCGGCGCCGCCGCCUCGCCUUGCCUCGGGUCUCCGUUCCACCUAUUUUUUUUUUUUAACUUUUUGCUCCAAGCCAGCGACGAAUCCCCGGAUCUGGCGUCAGCGAGGAAGGACACGGUGGCUGCGAGGACGUACACGCCGGAUCCGGGCCAGCACAACCACCAGAUGGGAGCUGCGGCGGCUGGACACCUUCGAGGUGCUGCCGCGGGCAGGAGAAUAUCGCUGCAGCACCCUUCGCCGCUGCCGAGCUCCUGGCGCUGGUGGACGCGAGACCCCAAGUUGCCGUCCACCACGAGGUGCUGCUACGGGUAGGAGGAGCUGCUGCCGCACACCACUAAGUGAUGCUACGGGCAGGCGGAGGUGUGACCACGACGACGUACCAGACAAGGAGAGGCGCAGUGAAUGAGAAUGUUGGCUUAGAAAUUCAGAACAUCCAAGAAGUGGUCGGGGGACUGGUUUUGGUAAGUGAACACGGUACAAAGUUAGUUCGGUUUAUGAUUUGGACGUGGUUUAAUGUCAUGAACCAUCUGUUUUGUUUUUGUAAUAUCUUUUUUUCCUAUCUAACAAGAGGUUGUUAUUGUUCAUUACCCUGCAUUGGAUGGUUAUGCAGUAAGCCAGUAAGAUGCUUGUGUGAACAAGCAAACAUUGAUGUUUAGAUCCUUUACAACAGUACAUGUAAAUAUCAUUUCACUUAUUUGAAAUUCCACACACCCAGUUCAUAUAUAUGAGGGUAUCUUGAGAAGAUCAGUUCUGCCACUGUUGUUGUUGGAGACAGAAUUGAACGAGCUCUUCCUUUGUAUCAUCUUUCUUAUAUUGAUUAGUGAAUAGUUGUUGCUGCUUUUAGCCCUCGUUUUCGUGAGAACUUGUUCAGAGUGUAGAAAAGAAAAUUAUGUGGCUAUAGAAGCAUAUAUGCCAUUCAGUAAAACAUCAAAGAAAAAUAACUUUGAAAUCUAUAUAUUUAUUGACUGUGCACCUAUUCCAUCUUCCAAGUAACUUCUGUGGGGUCAUCCUGAUCAGAAGUUUAUCCACCUAAAGAAAAAUUAAUUUUAUCCGAACUUCAUUUCAUUUAUUAUGUUCUCUCACAUUUUUUCAUUGUAUUUAUACAUGAGGAUUUUUUUUGUUUCUCUUGUUUAUUUUGAAAGUGAGUACCAGUUUUGAAUAGGCAUUAUCUUUGACCAUUUGAUAGUGAGUUGAAAGAAUAUUUUCUCAUUUCCAAGUUCCUCGCUACCCGCUCUCCUGUUUGAAGAUUAUUCUAUUCCUUUUGUGAAUUCUCUUCAUGUCCUGAAGAGGAGGUUUCUGCACCCUAUUAUGCUUCAUGUCCUUCAUUCAAAAAUUAAUUUGAUGCCUGGCUGAUUAGUGCUGAAUCAGAUCUAGCACAGAAUCACAUUUUACAGCAUUUCCAUUAUGAGUAUGUUUAUACAGUUGUUGAGUACCUUUAAUUGAAUCAGCAGAUUGUCUCGUCUACCCUUUGUGUAUUAGUUAUCCUUCCUUAUGGUGUUUUGAUUGAAUAGAAGCAGAUCAGGAGCCUUUGUUGUUGGUCCACUCUAAUCCCAACCCUUUGUAUGAUAUUUUUGUCAUCUAGAUUUUUAUAGAUGGUUAUGUUGUAUGUUCAUAUUCAUAUGUUGGCUCGGAGAUCCCUUUUGUGGCUUCUACUUUAUCAUGAAGAUUGUCGACAAGGAUUGAGAAGACAUAAUUGCUUACUAAUUAGAUUUCCAUAGAUGGUUAUGUUGUAUGUUCAUAUUCAUAUGUUGGCUCGCAGAUCCCUUUUCUGGCUUCUACUUUAUCAUGAAGAUUGUCGACAAGGAUUGAUAAGAGAUAAUUGCUUACUAAUUGCUCGUGUGUUUUUCAUCUCAGUGCUUCUCGGUGCCCUUCAUAAAGAACUUUCUCCCCGGAUUGUCUAUCAAAUCUCCAGUUGGAAAUAUCAGUCUACAGGCCCGUCUGAUAAAAUUAACCUUUAACAACCAACUGGAUGAUUAGCUGCUCCAUCAUGCUACAUACGCCUCUUUGUUGAGUGUUUUUCCCCGUUUUCUUGGAGAGUGCUACCUUUGCAAUGGUUUGGCCAUAAAUCUGUUGUCCGCACAAGUAGUACUGCUAAUUUGCCCUUUUUAAUGACGAUUUAUGCUUUCCGUACGCAAGUAUUUUAUUUGCAGUUUUGCAUUAGCCAAAUACUGAACUUCAGUGGGAGACAUUCACUGUUUUUCAGAUUUGAUGGAAAAACAAAAAAUAUGCCGCCAAUCGGCGUAAUUUUAUAACCGUUCUCGUCAUCUGAGUAACAUCCGAAAUGGCUAAUCUGAUCGGUUUUGCUGCUUGUGUAGAACCGACGACAAGCUUGUUGGCGGGCAUCUGGCAGGAUCGGUGAACAUCCUCUACAUGUACAAUACCAGCUCAGGCAAUUAUUAGAACUCUGUCAGUUAGUUAAGCUCUUGUGAUCAUUGAAAGGGAGGGGGGAUUAAGGUGUUUCCAUCAACAACCAUUUAUUGGUCGAGUGGACUCAGAACUGGAUUCGUACUGAAAAAUCAAGGUUGGCAUCAUGAUAACAAGCAUGGUCACCUUAAGUCUCAACUCUGAGCCUCCUCUUGGAAAAAAUGCCCGCAUUCCAAACAAGUCCAUUUACAGACUCUAAACCUCCUCUAUGAGCACCAAGUAGACACUCUCUUUGCUAUGUUUUGGCACAAAGAGCCAGACAUCAAGUACUACGUGUGCACAAUCAACAAGACAUUUGCCAAACCAGGCCAGCGCAUGGUUAACUAUACUGAAGAGAACUUGCAGGACUACAUUGAUCCAAACAAUGGUACACUCAUGGUCAGACUUGCAGACCGCCAUCUGCUCGCCGAAUGUUACAUCAUGCUAGGAAUGGACAAAAGGGCCACUAUAACCACCAACUGGCCUGAGUUUUGUCGCCGCGCCAACAUUCGCGAGGGAGACAUCUGUGCAUUUCGUUUCAGGAUAACUUCAAAGUGCCGCCUGGUCCUCACCGUGCACUACCUGUAGAUGCACCAUCGAAGAUGAUGCAGCCCCUGUGUCAAUAUAAUCUAGCACUAAGUACUCCUAAUUAUGUUAUAUCCUGUGAUAACCUAUCGGUUGCUUUUGGGUCCUUUUAUCACAUGCUUUUCAAGAUACUAAACCUACGUUGCUGCUUAUGUUAAGUGCACUAUUGUCAGUCAGAUGUUUUAUGUUCAGAUCCAUAAUGAGCUUUCUCUGUAAAGUAUAUAUUUCUAUUUUUGCUGCUAA